CAGCCUUUCCCACUUAAAGGUCUGCUGCGACGACCAAUGGCGGCAGGUUGCCUUCACGGAUCGAGACCAGGACUCGUGCACGACCGACUGGAUCAGUGACCACAUUUGGGUUCCGAUUGUUAUGAUUGCAAUAGUAAUCACGCUGGGUGUGCUGCUGACCUGGUGUUGCUGCAGGCGGUGUCGCCGUAAUCAGGGAGUGAUAAUCCAGUACGGAUUACCACAGAGCACCAUAAUAGUGGCUCAGCAACAGAACACGAAUGUUAUGCACGCGGGGUACGACCAGCCAUGAAGACCGGGUCAAACGGAGAUGAACGAAAAGUGUGGAACAUUUCUUAAAUCUCUUAAACAUCCCUGUGAAUAACGUUGCUUUAGACUUGUUAUUUGUUUCAUUUUUGUUAUUUCUAAUGAUAUGUUGUUUUCAUUACCAUCUCACAAUAUUUUAAAUGCGAUGA
Dreissena polymorpha is the source of this 452-nucleotide long non-coding RNA. RefSeq lists it as uncharacterized. The transcript is spliced from 3 exons. The record is from RefSeq and is a predicted model, not a curated record. Lineage: Eukaryota; Metazoa; Mollusca; Bivalvia; Myida; Dreissenidae.